This 468-nucleotide ribosomal RNA is filed under the name uncultured bacterium. Its description in RNAcentral is "partial 16S ribosomal RNA". It matches the Rfam family "Bacterial small subunit ribosomal RNA", at positions 28 to 507 of the family's 1533-position model. The record is from RNAcentral.
GACGAACGCUGGCGGCGUGCUUAACACAUGCAAGUCGAACGGAAAGGCCCUGCUUUUGUGGGGUGCUCGAGUGGCGAACGGGUGAGUAACACGCGAGUAAACUGACCUUGACUUUGGGAUAACUUCAGGGAACUGGGGCUAAUAUCGGGUAGGAGCUCCUGCUGCAUGGUGGGGGUUGGAAAAUUUCGGCGGUUGGGGAUGGACUCGCGGCUUAUCAGCUUGUUGGGGGGGUAGUGGUUUACCAAGGCUUUGAGGGGUAGCCGGCAUGAGCGGUGGACCGGCCACAAUGGUACUGAGGGACGGACCAGUCUGCAACGUGAGGCAGCGGGGGGGAGUAUUGCAGAACAAGGGGACGCCUGAUGCAGCAGUGCCGCGAGCGUGAUGACGUCCUACGAGUGAUGAACCGCUUUGGACUGUGCUAAGGACUGCUUGACGGUAAUUAAUAAAAAAGCACCGGCUAACUACGUG